Molecule: RNA transcript, 4929 nt
Organism: Vidua chalybeata
Lineage: Eukaryota; Metazoa; Chordata; Aves; Passeriformes; Viduidae
Gene: JAKMIP3
Gene name: Janus kinase and microtubule interacting protein 3
Exons: 24
Source: RefSeq, a predicted model, not a curated record
GCACUGAGCUCAUCCCGCAGCCUGCCGGGGAAACCUGUCCGUAGCUCCUCCGACUGCUCGGAUCCGCGCUCGAGCUGCCCUGACCUGCUGAGCCCCAUCCCUGGACAGGGACAGUGCCUCUGCUGUGGUUGGACCAUGAGGGACAGAGCGAGGCACUGAGGGUCACCAGCCAGGAACACUGCUACCCACGUUAACAGGAUCGCUUGCAGAAGGCCCCAGAAGAUGUAGAGCGGGCGGCGAGCGGCGAGCAGCGGGGCCGGGCCGCCCUCACCAUGGCCAAGAGGGGCUCCGGCAGCCGCGCCAGGGGGGACAAGCCCGACGCCUUGGCCGCCCUGCAGGCUGCCAACGAGGAGCUCCGGGCCAAGCUCACCGACAUCCAGAUCGAGCUGCAGCAGGAGAAGAGCAAGGUCAGCAAGUUGGAAAGGGAGAAAAACCAGGAAGUGAAGCAGAUCAAGGAGCACGAACAGCAUAAAAGCACAGUGGUGGUCACAGAGCUCAAAGUCAAACUCCACGAAGACAAAAUGAAAGAGCUCCAAGCUGUUCGAGAAACUCUUCUGAGGCAGCACGAAGCUGAGCUGCUCAGAGUAAUAAAAAUUAAAGACAAUGAAAUCCAGAGACUCCAGACCCUGCUCAACGCCGUGCGUGACGGGGCCCCGGACAAGGUGAAAACCGUGCUGCUCACCGAGGCCAAGGAGGAGGCCAAGAAGGGCUUCGAGGUGGAGAAAAUCAAAAUGCAGCAAGAAAUUUCCGAGCUGAAGGGGGCCAAGAAGCAGGUGGAGGAGGCUCUCACGAUGGUGAUCCAAGCUGACAAAAUGAAAGCAGCGGAGAUCAGGAGUGUGUAUCACCUGCACCAGGAGGAGAUCACCCGCAUCAAGAGGGAGUGCGAGAGGGAAAUCCGCAGGCUGAUGGAGGAGAUUAAGUUUAAGGACAGAGCAGUCUUCGUGCUGGAGAGAGAGUUAGGGGUGCGAGCCGGGCAUGCUCAGAGACUGCAGCUCCAAAAGGAGGCUUUAGAUGAACAACUGUCCCAGCUCAAAGAGUCUGACCGGCAUCUGAGCAGCCCCAAGCGGGAACUUCCUUAUGCAAGUGGUGCAGGAGACGCUUCAGAUCAUUCGGGAAGCCCCGAACAGCAGUUGGAUGAAAAGGACGCCCGGCGCUUCCAGCUGAAAAUCGCGGAGCUGAGCGGGAUCAUCCGCAAGCUGGAGGACAGGAACGCGCUGCUGUCGGAGGAGAGGAACGAGCUGUUGAAACGUCUCAGAGAAGCAGAAAGUCAGUAUAAGCCCAUUCUGGACAAAAACAAACGCCUCAGUAGGAAGAAUGAGGAGUUGUCACAUGCCUUACGUCGAAUGGAAAAUAAAUUGAAAUUUGUGACGCAGGAAAAUAUUGCCAUGAGGCAAAGAACUGGAGCAAUAAGGAGACCAAGCUCCCUAAAUGACCUUGACCACAGCCAGGAAGAAAGGGAAGUGGAUUUCCUGAGACUACAAGUUAUUGAGCAGCAAAACAUCAUUGAUGAGCUCUCCAAGACCCUGGAGACUGCUGGCUAUGUGAAGAGUGUCAUGGAACGUGAUAAGCUGCUACGGUUCAGGAAGCAAAGGAAAAAAAUGACAAGAAUUCCUAAGAAGCCGGUGGUGGAGACGUUCUAUGGCUACGACGAGGAGGCUUCCCUGGAGUCCGACGGUUCCUCCAUCUCCUACCAGACCGACCGGACUGACCAGACCCCCUGCACGCCCGAGGACGACCUGGAAGAGGGCAUGGCCAAGGAGGAGACGGAGCUGCGGUUCCGGCAGCUGACCAUGGAGUACCAGGCCCUGCAGCGCGCCUACGCCCUGCUGCAGGAGCAGGUCGGGGGCACCCUGGAUGCAGAACGAGAGGUCAAGACACGUGAGCAGCUCCAAGCAGAAAUACACCGGUCCCAGGCUCAGAUAGAAGACCUGGAGAAGGCUCUGGCUGAGCAGGGACAGGACAUGAAGUGGAUUGAGGAGAAGCAGGCGUUGUACAGGAGGAAUCAGGAGCUGGUAGAAAAGAUCAGGCAGAUGGAGGCCGAGGAGGCGCGCCUCAAACACGACGUGCAGGACGUGAAGGACCAGAACGAGCUGCUGGAGUUCAGGAUCCUGGAGCUGGAGGAGAGGGAGAGACGGUCCCCGGCCAUCACCUUCCACCACGGCCCCUUCACGGAGGGGAAGAGCCCUCUGCAGGUGUACUGCGAGGCUGAAGGUGUAACAGACAUUGUAGUAGCAGAGCUGAUGAAAAAGUUGGACAUUUUAGGGGAUAACGCCGUAAGUAAUCUGACCAACGAGGAGCAGGUGGUCAUCAUCCAGGCCAGGACUGUCCUGACGCUGGCAGAGAAGUGGCUCCAGCAGAUCGAGGUGACCGAGUCCGCGCUGCAGCAGAAGAUGCUGGACCUGGAGAACGAGAAGGAGCUGUUCAGCAAGCAGAAGGGCUACCUGGACGAUGAGCUGGACUUCAGGAAACAGUCCCUGGACCAGGCUCACAAGCAAAUUCUGGAAUUAGAAGCCAUGCUCUAUGAUGCCCUGCAGCAAGAAGCUGGAGCCAAAAUUUCCGAACUUCUUUCAGAAGAGGAGAAGGAGAAGCUGAAGAGCGCCGUGGAGCAAUGGAAGCGGCAGGUGAUGAGUGAGCUCCGGGAGAGGGACGCCCAAAUCCUGCGGGAAAGGAUGGAGCUCAUCCAGCACGCCCAGCAGAGAAUUAAAGAGCUAGAAGAAAGAAUUGAAGGCCAAAAAAGACAAAUAAAAGAGUUAGAGGAAAAGCCCCCUGAGGCCACUGCAGCUGCCCCUGCUGUCCUUCCCGGAGGGACAGCCCUGCUUCCCCAGGCCCACGCAGAGACUUUGCCCUGGCCACCCCCAGAUCUGUGCCGCUCCUUGCUGCUGCUGGCCAUGGGAGGUGCCGUCUGUGGGACUUGCAGCAGGGCUGAGCCAGGCUGGGAGGGAGUCCCUGCACCCCUGAGAGCCCCGAGGAGCCUUUGGAGAGGACAGAACUGAGCCGGCAAAGACAGGCAGAACCUCUGCUCGUGCCCCUCGUGCAGCCCCGGGCUCUGCCAGCAGCAGCCUCACUGAUUCAGAUACUCUGGAUUGAUCCCGGUUCCCUGCCGAGCAGGUGGCAAAUUGCUUCUGUGCAGAAGUGCCCGUGUCCUGUCUGUCUGCCACACGGUCAUGUUUGUUCCACAGUUCUUCAAAAAUCUGUCUCGAAAGGAGAAUUUAGGAAGCGUUCCAGAGGAGCAGCUCAUGAAAAGAUGCAUGUACCUGCGCCGCUGGAGUUUAUAAAGCUGUGGAGAAAACCCCUUGAUACUGAAAUUCUUCAGCCUCUUCCUGCACUUGUACAUCGACCACGUUUUAACCCAGCGCAGGGAGCUCGGCUGCAGAAACAGAAAGAAGGGACUUGGUCAGAGAAGUGCGGUAUUUGAACCAAAGGGAUGCGAUGUUUUAAGGCCAAGGUUGUGGAUUUCGAUAUCAGCGUGUGAUUCAGCGUGUGAUGGAAUUGAUUUAACAAGCUCUGAUUCUACCAGUUCCAGUGCUGGGAUUCUGGGAUGAGCUGCAUUUUUGCUUCUGCAUUUCACGCCUGAAACGGGUUCAUUUUGAGUUCUACUGAAAUACUUCAUGUCUUAAAAUACUGUAUUCCCUGGAAGCCUGCAGAUGGUGGUUGAGGUGACAAAGGGCACAUUGGGAAGUGGCUUGAGUCCUUCUCAUGGCUCUGCAUUCAGGACGUGCUCUUGCCUGGUGUGUUCGUGUGUCUCAAACACCGGUUCUGUUUUCCAAUUAGCGUCCUUGAUCCUGGGGGUUUUAAGUACAAAGCCAAUUGUACAGGACAGGUCCGUGUGUAAAUAAGGGAUUGUGCUUAUCUAUAUGUCACUAUAAAUAUGUAUGAAGUUUUGUACAUAGGAAAGAAACAAAUGGCUCAAAGAAUGUUUUCAGAACUGUGUCCUCCGUUUAAAUGCACAGACAAGAGAUUGCCACCCAUGUGCUCCCUCCCUGUCCGGGAAGGGAUCCUGCUGGUUCUGCUUGCUGCCCACGUCCCAGGGCUGGGCUCUGUGAGGAGUUUGUUCCUGGCCCGGAGCAGGGCUGGGCUCUGUGAGGAGUUUUUUUGGUAGCCCGGGGCCGGGCUGGGCUCUGUGAGGAGUUUGUUCCUGGCCCGGAGCAGGGCUGAGCCGUGUCGGCUCUCGGCUGCUCCCUCCUCACUCUGGCCCCUGUGCAGCUCUGACAAACGCCGCUCCAAGCCCCGGGACCGCGGCGGGGCCGUGCCGCGGCCGGGGGCAGCAGCCGGAGCGGGGGGGGGGGCACGGGCCACCCCUCGCCCCAAACCCACCGCCCUGUGUGCGUCAGGCGUGGACUUCUUGUUCCAGCUGCUGGAGGAUGUGGCUGUUAUUUCCAGUAUUCUGCUCUAUUUCUGUAGCCUUCAGUGAUUCCUUGAGUGCCUUACAUGGCUUGUGGACAGAAUUCCUGACCAGGAGUUGAAAAUGCCCCUGGACCGACGCCGGCUCCUUCGCAGCCCUGUGCCCCUCGGCCGUCGCCGGCAGCGUGCACAGGGAGAGAUUUAGCUUCGACUCAGGAAAUCGCCGUGUGAAUAUGUGUAUUAAACCCUGUAUGAUGUGCUGUACAGUUUAUAAAAAGGGACUAUUGUAAACUUAUGCAAAACGUAACGCAGAGAAAAUGGAGGUUUUUGGUCCGCUGGCUGGCGUGCCGUGACCCGCGUCCUCUAAUCCUACUCCAGAAUCAUAUCCAAAAUACAGAGCGUUGGGUUCAGUGCUGUGACAGCAACCUCCAGCCCGAAAACAGGGACUGGAGCGAUCGACUAGAGAAUUUUACAGAUAUUUUUGUAUUGUGAUUCCUAUGAUAUAUAUCGAGAGACUUUCUAUUCCUUUGUAAAAUACAUAAAUUAUUGUCAACUUUUAAUUAAAAAGACCUGUUUUAAACCUUCAAA